GCUUCCCGUAUGAUCACUGAAGUUAAGCAACGUUUAGCCAGGUUAGUAUCUAGACGGGUGACCGCUUGGGAAUACCAGGUGAU
This is a non-coding RNA of Acanthosepion pharaonis, 83 nucleotides long. NCBI's taxonomy places the organism in Eukaryota, Metazoa, Mollusca, Cephalopoda, Sepiida, Sepiidae. The record is from the annotation of a GenBank genome assembly.